UGAUUUCUCUCUAGUACAACAUGAAGUUCUGAAGUAAACACCAGUGCCUGCAGAAAAAAAUGUACACACACUUGCCUAAGGGACCUUGAACAAGACUGGCAAUAUCAGUGGGAGUGGAGUGAAGGUGUGGGAAUACUGGGUGCUGGAAAAUGUCUAAAUCAGCCUUUACCCCUUCCUGCAACACCAUUUUGCUCACAGCCGCAAUGGUGCCUUUCCUCCCUUCACUGCUUCUUUGUGACGGUUGUGUGACCCCUCUCAGAUGAUUAAGGUUCAACCAUACUGGAGUUGGAACCACUCAGAAGUGCAGCCAAGUAUAGGAGUGAUGGAGAGUGGGGCCCACACACUGCUGGAGCCAAAUGUGGAUUGUUGGCAUCAAAGCAAUGCCCUGCACUUAACUGCUAUCAAUUUACUGUUCUCCCUCUCUGAAUACAUUGACAGCUUACUGGGCUACACCUCUGUGUCCAUUCAUUUUCCCACACUAGCUCUCUUAAAUGAUCAUUUUUCAUGUGUGAAACCAGAGAACGAGGCUGGCUAUGUUAUUGCAGAGACCAUUGCAGCCGAUCUUCAAUCACCACCCAUUCUUGCACACUUCAACAAGAGUGUUAUGGGGUGACAAUUAGAGGCAAGAACCCUUGGCUAUUUUCCCUUUCCA
Hypanus sabinus (Atlantic stingray) is the source of this 652-nucleotide long non-coding RNA. RefSeq lists it as uncharacterized. The record is from RefSeq and is a predicted model, not a curated record. The transcript has 4 exons. NCBI's taxonomy places the organism in Eukaryota, Metazoa, Chordata, Chondrichthyes, Myliobatiformes, Dasyatidae.